RNAcentral lists this ribosomal RNA (368 nucleotides) under uncultured organism. RNAcentral's name for it is "bacterial SSU rRNA". It matches the Rfam family "Bacterial small subunit ribosomal RNA", at positions 526 to 896 of the family's 1533-position model. The record is from RNAcentral.
CGAAGGAUGCAAGCGUUAUCCGGAUUCAUUGGGUUUAAAGGGAGCGUAGGCGGCCUUAUAAGUCAGUGGUGAAAUCUUUGGGCUUAACCCAAAAAUUGCCAUUGAUACUGUAGGGCUUGAGUACAGUUGCUGUGGGCGGAAUAUGACAUGUAGUGGUGAAAUACAUAGAGAUGUCAUAGAACACCGAUUGCGAAGGCAGCUCACAAAACUGUAACUGACGCUGAGGCUCGAAAGUGCGGGGAUCAAACAGGAUUAGAUACCCUGGUAGUCCGCACUGUAAACGAUGAUUACUCGCUGCUGGAAGGUAACUUUCAGUGGCUUAGCGAAAGCGAUAAGUAAUCCACCUGGGGAGUACGCCGGCAACGGUG